This 301-nucleotide ribosomal RNA is filed under the name uncultured bacterium. RNAcentral's name for it is "partial 16S ribosomal RNA". It matches the Rfam family "Bacterial small subunit ribosomal RNA", at positions 509 to 807 of the family's 1533-position model. The record is from RNAcentral.
CAGUCGCCACGGUAAUACGAAGGGUGCAAGCGUUACUCGGAAUUACUGGGCGUAAAGCGUGCGUAGGUGGUUCGUUAAGUCUGAUGUGAAAGCCCUGGGCUCAACCUGGGAAUUGCAUUGGAUACUGGCGAGCUAGAGUGCGGUAGAGGGUAGUGGAAUUCCCGGUGUAGCGGUGAAAUGCGUUGAGAUCGGAAAGAACACCAACGGCGAAAGCACUCUGCUAGGCCGACACUGACACUGAGAGAUGAAAGCUAGGGGAGCAAAUGGGAUUAGAUACCCCAGUAGUCCCUGUCUCUUAUAC